GCUGGGAUUACAGGCGUGAGCCACCGCGCCCAGCCCAAAAUCAUUCCUCUCUUAAGUAUCUUUUUCCAAUAUGGCAAAUAAGCCUAGAGAUGAACAGGUAAGAAGUAAAAAAAUAAAAUUAAGAAAAAACUGAAAAAAAUUUUUAAUUUUUAAAAUUUAAGGAGAAUUGCGGCGUGGAUCCUUCAAUUUCCUACAUCCAGAUUCUGCUGUCCACAAGGUUCAGCUUUGGAAGUCUUCUAUGUGCCUUUUAAAUCCUUUCUUAAAAUUACAGAGUCUUUUCUACCAAGUUUUAAAUCUAACGCUCUAUCAAUAAUGUAAUCUUUUAUAUGCAGUAACAUUAUACUUCAGAUGGAUUAGUAGUUUAGUUUAGAUGCCUUUGGGUCUGGAAGCAUACGAAUGGAUAAAACAAUUCCUUCAAGUCUCUGACAGCUUCAUAACUCUAUUUUAUCUACAUAGCUUCUUCUCAACUUCCUCUGUCUAUUCCAAGAUAUUUUCCAGGUAGGUCUGAAACGCUGAGUCCCGUAAAGAAAUGUUUAUGCAUCAAAUAACAGAAGAGCUCUUCCCCCACCCCUUCAGCUCCCAUAAUGUUUUACCAUUAUAUCCAGUAAACAAAAUAGGUUGACUCAAUCUUAAACAAUUCCCCCAUCACAGGAAGCCCACUGCACCCACAGCUGCAGAAAGCAUCCCUUAAACCAUCCCCAACUACCUACAGCAACACAAAGUUAAACCAAUUUCCACUGACAAAAGGCUAUGUGUGCAUUUAUUCUAAUCAGCCCCAGGAUUUAUUGUGUGAAACUCAGGCGAUAAAAAGUCACCUCCUCAAGCUACAAAACUUUUUUUUCAUCCCAAAUAUUCUCAAUGAAAGUUCUCUUGUCAACCAGGAGAGAGUCAAAAACAACCACAAACACUAGCAGAAUGAUCCGCUCCAGGACCACAUCCCAGCUGGCUUUGCUCUGUUGUCGGUGGCUCUGAAGCAGUUUCUCACUUUCCUUUCACCCUUCUCCCCUUUACUCCCCAACAUUCUCACUCGAGAAUGCAUCACAUCCUCAGACCGCUGGCAAAAAAAAAAGGGGGGGGGGAAGAGACUGCAAUUAUCAAGGAAGGGGAAGAUAUUUCAGAACCACGGUUUCCACUGCAAACGGCAAUAAAAAAAAAAGGCAGUCUGUGUCAUCAGGAUAUGGGGGACGACGUUGUAGGGCAUCACAAAGAUGUGCAGUGAGUGUGCACUUGAAGCUCUCGGGGCAGGAUGAGACGAUGGAGCAGAAAGUAAGAAAACCUGUGCCUUCCUUGCUUUCUUCUGCUCUUCCCCCUCCAGGAGAGGAAGCUGAAGAAACUGGGGGAGGGGCGGAAUGUUAUCGUUCUCCUAUUGAGGGUAUAUAAGACAGGCCUUAGGGUUCGCUCGUCCCCAGUUAGGAGGGUCACGGAGGGAAGAGGAAGAGAGAACCCCUAAACGUUACCCACCUCUGCUCAAAAACAAAAAGACAAGGUCUGACUCUGUGCAGUGGAGUGCAGUGGCUCAAUCAUAGCUCACUCCAGCCUCAGACUCCUGGGCCGAAGUGAUCCUCCCACCUCAAGCUCCUGAAUAGCUGGGACUACAGCUGGGCAUGGUGGCAUGUGCCUGUGGUUCCAGUUACUUGGGAAGCUGAAGUGGGAGGAUCGCUUGAGCCCAGGAGGUCAAGGCUACAGUGAGCUGUGAUGGUGUCAUUGCAUUCCAGCACUCCAGCCCGGGCAUCAGAGUUAGACCUUGUCUUAAAAAAUAAAUAAAUGAAUAAAUAUAAAUAAAAAAUAAAAAGCUUUUACAG
RNAcentral lists this long non-coding RNA (1802 nucleotides) under Homo sapiens (human). RNAcentral's name for it is "HSALNT0239303". Lineage: Eukaryota; Metazoa; Chordata; Mammalia; Primates; Hominidae. The record is from RNAcentral.